This 426-nucleotide ribosomal RNA is filed under the name uncultured prokaryote. RNAcentral describes it as "bacterial SSU rRNA". It matches the Rfam family "Bacterial small subunit ribosomal RNA", at positions 355 to 774 of the family's 1533-position model. The record is from RNAcentral.
UUUCGAAUUAUUCACAAUGGGCGAAAGCCUGAUGGUGCGACGCCGCGUGAGGGAUGAAGGUCUUCGGAUUGUAAACCUCUGUCACCGGGGAAGAAUGGCUAUGACCUAAUACGUCAUGGUUUGACUUAACCCGGAGAGGAAGCAGUGGCUAACUCUGUGCCAGCAGCCGCGGUAAUACAGAGACUGCAAGCGUUAUUCGGAUUCACUGGGCGUAAAGGGUGCGCAGGCGGUUGCAUGUGUUGGGUGUGAAAGCCCGGGGCUCAACCCCGGAAUUGCGCCCAAAACUAUGCGACUAGAGUACCGGAGAGGAUAGCGGAAUUCACGGUGUAGCAGUGAAAUGCGUAGAUAUCGUGAAGAACACCAGCGGCGAAGGCGGCUAUCUGGAAGGUAACUGACGCUCAGGCGCGAAAGCGUGGGGAGCAAAAG